CCUACGGGUGGCAGCAGUGGGGAAUAUUGCGCAAUGGGCGAAAGCCUGACGCAGCGACGCCGCGUGAGGGAUGAAGGUCUUCGGAUCGUAAACCUCUGUCAGGAGGGAAGAAGUGGUUAUAUGCGAAUAGUGUAUGAAUUUGACGGUACCUCCAAAGGAAGCACCGGCCACCUCCGUGCCAGCAGCAGCGGUAAUACGGAGGGUGAGAGCGUUAAUCGGAAUCACUGGGCGGAAAGCCCGCGUAGGCGGCUUUUCAAGUCAGGGGUGAAAUCCCACGGCCCAACCCUGGAACUGCCCUUGAAACUGUAGAGCUUGAGUGUGGGAGAGGGUGGCGGAAUUCCGGGUGUAGGAGUGAAAUCCGUAGAUAUCUGGAGGAACACCGGUGGCGAAGGCGGCCACCUGGACGACAACUGACGCUGAGGUGCGAAGGCGUGGGUAGCAAACAGGAUUAGAUACCCUUGUAGUC
RNAcentral lists this ribosomal RNA (466 nucleotides) under uncultured bacterium. RNAcentral describes it as "partial 16S ribosomal RNA". It matches the Rfam family "Bacterial small subunit ribosomal RNA", at positions 338 to 795 of the family's 1533-position model. The record is from RNAcentral.